RNAcentral lists this transfer RNA (72 nucleotides) under Cladophialophora chaetospira. It matches the Rfam family "tRNA". From Rfam's summary of the family: Transfer RNA (tRNA) molecules are approximately 80 nucleotides in length. Their secondary structure includes four short double-helical elements and three loops (D, anti-codon, and T loops). RNAcentral also lists the same sequence under 3 other names. The record is from Rfam by way of RNAcentral. Lineage: Eukaryota; Fungi; Ascomycota; Eurotiomycetes; Chaetothyriales; Herpotrichiellaceae.
AGCAACGUGGCGCAGCGGAAGCGCGCCGGGCUCAUAACCCGGAGGACACUGGAUCGAAACCAGUCGUUGCUA